Molecule: long non-coding RNA, 387 nt
Filed under: Rattus norvegicus (Norway rat)
Lineage: Eukaryota; Metazoa; Chordata; Mammalia; Rodentia; Muridae
Description: long non-coding RNA NONRATT001175
Source: RNAcentral
GAUGGCCUUCGGAACAGCACUGGACUCGGUCCCCAAAGCAAAUUUGUGGUUGGUAGCAGCAGCAAUAAUGUGGGUCAUGGAAGUAGUACUGGGCCAUGGGGCUUUCCCCAUGGAGCCAUAAUAAGCACAUGUCAGGUCUCUGUGGAUGCUCCUGAAAGCAAACCAGAAAGUAGUAACAGUAGAAUGAAUGCUUGGGGCACUGUAAGUUCUUCAUCAAAUGGAGGGUUAAAUCCAAGCACUUUGAAUUCAGCUAGCAACCAUGGUGCCUGGCCAGUAUUAGAAAACAACGGACUUGCCCUAAAAGGGCCUGUAGGGAGUGGGAAUUCUGGCAUCAAUAUUCAGUGUAGUACCAUAGGCCAGAUGCCUAACAAUCAGAGUAUCAACUCU